This 1080-nucleotide long non-coding RNA is filed under the name Vulpes vulpes (red fox). RNAcentral describes it as "lncRNA (ENSVVUG00000000088.1)". Lineage: Eukaryota; Metazoa; Chordata; Mammalia; Carnivora; Canidae. The record is from RNAcentral.
CGGAGGUCUGAAACCAGGCCAGGCCGUCUGUUCCCCGUGCCCACACUAUCAUGAGUCCCCCCGAGGCCCUGGGGACAUCAGUGGCCUCCAACACUGGGGAUACUUCGUGGUCACUGCCGGGUAUAUUGAGAGCAGGUAAUUUGGAAGAAAAGGGGAGUAGCUCAAAGCCUUCCAUGUAUUUAAAAAAAAAAAAUAACGAAACGCUCUAUUUACAAUAACGAUGGCAGUUCAGCCCAGAGCAACUGACGUCACGGCUGCAGAAGGGCUCCUCCAGUGACGUCGGCCCGCAAACAGCCCCUCCCUCGCCGCCACAGCCGCAAUCGGCCGCUGCAGAGGAGCAAAUGCGCAUGCCCCGGCGAGCCGCUGUUGCCAGGGAAACCAGCCACCAGUCACAAACAAAUCACCGCCUAACUGCGCAAGUCAAGAAAUGACCCGGCCGUGGCUGUGAGCCAAAAGAGCCCCUUGCACUAAGGGCGGCCCGGGCAGCCUCCCACCCAGUGCCCCCUAUUUUCCUUCCUGAAUCAGUAAAGCCUAGAGGCUAGAGGCCAGAGUCCGAAGUCAUUAGAGAAAAAAGGCUGCGUUGGGAGUGGGGAUGGGGGUGGGGCUGUCAACAGUGGGUGGCAGGUGAUCUUAAUAAUCAAAUAUGUCUGUGAGCAACGUUUAACUCUUCUCCCACUAAGCGUCUGUGUUUCAUGCUGGAGCCUUCCACCUACAGUGAAAAGAGGGACAGGAACUCAGAUCUGAGAACAUCUUCAAUCAUAACCCAUCCUAUCAAGUCUAAUCCAAACAUCAUAAGACUGAGAUACUGUUCCGAGUACAAUUUCUCAUCCUGGUAACAUCUUCGUCAAGUCACAGUGUUGCCAUUAGGCCCCUGACCUGAAGAUGGGUCUCAGCAAAAGAUGCCUAACUCCUUCUGCAAUCCUCCAAUUACACGCAGAAAUUCAGGCCCAGACCCAGUGUUGUUAUUAUCUACUCUGCUCAGAAAAAAAAUGCACAGAGUUCACCUGUGUCCUCAGCUCUAUCAUCAUGACCCCCACCUGUCAGCAUGGCUACUGGAGGACUUCUGCUAAAGAAGAAUAA